UCUGCCGGAGAGACAUUGCAGCUGUGGCUGCUGUGUCACAUGCGUGUCAGUAGGUGGCAGAGAGGAGAGGCUGAGUCUAUGCUCGGUGUUCCAACCAAAGAACAUCUAAAUGAUUAACAGCCUAAAGGU
This is a small nucleolar RNA of Rattus norvegicus (Norway rat), 129 nucleotides long. Ensembl annotates it as small nucleolar RNA SNORA17. The record is from Ensembl. Lineage: Eukaryota; Metazoa; Chordata; Mammalia; Rodentia; Muridae.